This 468-nucleotide ribosomal RNA is filed under the name uncultured bacterium. Its description in RNAcentral is "partial 16S ribosomal RNA". It matches the Rfam family "Bacterial small subunit ribosomal RNA", at positions 28 to 507 of the family's 1533-position model. The record is from RNAcentral.
GACGAACGCUGGCGGCGUGCUUAACACAUGCAAGUCGAACGGAAAGGCCCUGCUUUUGUGGGGUGCUCGAGUGGCGAACGGGUGAGUAACACGUGAGUAACCUGCCCUUGACUUUGGGAUAACUUCAGGAAACUGGGGCUAAUACCGGAUAGGAGCUCCUGCUGCAUGGUGGGGGUUGGAAAGUUUCGGCGGUUGGGGAUGGACUCGCGGCUUAUCAGCUUGUUGGUGGGGUAGUGGCUUACCAAGGCUUUGACGGGUAGCCGGCCUGAGAGGGUGAACGGCGACAUUGGGACUGAGAGACGGCCCAGACUGCUACGGGAGGCAGCAGUGGGGAAUAUUGCACAAUGGGCGGAAGCCUGAUGCAGCAACGCCGCGUGCGGGAUGACGGCCUUCGGGUUGUAAACCGCUUUCGCCUGUGACGAAGCGUGAGUGACGGUAAUGGGUAAAGAAGCACCGGCUAACUACGUG